RNAcentral lists this ribosomal RNA (922 nucleotides) under uncultured Bacteroidota bacterium. Its description in RNAcentral is "bacterial SSU rRNA". It matches the Rfam family "Bacterial small subunit ribosomal RNA", at positions 1 to 916 of the family's 1533-position model. Lineage: Bacteria; Pseudomonadati; Bacteroidota. The record is from RNAcentral.
GGAUCCAGACUUUGAUUAUGGCUCAGGAUGAACGCUAGCUACAGGCUUAACACAUGCAAGUCGAGGGGCAGCGGGAUUGAAGCUUGCUUCAAUUGCCGGCGACCGGCGCACGGGUGAGUAACGCGUAUCCAACCUUCCGUACACUCAGGGAUAGCCUUUCGAAAGAAAGAUUAAUACCUGAUGGUACCUUAAGCACACAUGUAAUUAAGAUUAAAGAUUUAUCGGUGUACGAUGGGGAUGCGUUCCAUUAGGUAGUAGGCGGGGCAACGGCCCACCUAGCCAACGAUGGAUAGGGGUUCUGAGAGGAAGGUCCCCCACAUUGGAACUGAGACACGGUCCAAACUCCUACGGGAGGCAGCAGUGAGGAAUAUUGGUCAAUGGACGAGAGUCUGAACCAGCCAAGUAGCGUGAAGGAUGAAGGUCCUACGGAUUGUAAACUUCUUUUAUAAGGGAAUAAACCCUCCCACGUGUGGGAGCUUGUAUGUACCUUAUGAAUAAGCAUCGGCUAACUCCGUGCCAGCAGCCGCGGUAAUACGGAGGAUGCGAGCGUUAUCCGGAUUUAUUGGGUUUAAAGGGAGCGCAGACGGGUCGUUAAGUCAGCUGUGAAAGUUUGGGGCUCAACCUUAAAAUUGCAGUUGAUACUGGCGUCCUUGAGUGCGGUUGAGGUGUGCGGAAUUCGUGGUGUAGCGGUGAAAUGCUUAGAUAUCACGAAGAACUCCGAUUGCGAAGGCAGCACACUAAUCCGUAACUGACGUUCAUGCUCGAAAGUGUGGGUAUCAAACAGGAUUAGAUGCCCUGGUAGUCCACACGGUAAACGAUGGAUACUCGCUGUUGGCGAUAUACUGUCAGCGGCUUAGCGAAAGCGUUAAGUAUCCCACCUGGGGAGUACGCCGGCAACGGUGCAACUCAAAGGAAUUGACGG